RNAcentral lists this long non-coding RNA (1231 nucleotides) under Triticum aestivum (bread wheat). RNAcentral's name for it is "long non-coding RNA (TAES_LNC016576)". Lineage: Eukaryota; Viridiplantae; Streptophyta; Magnoliopsida; Poales; Poaceae. The record is from RNAcentral.
UUUUCAACAAUGGGUGGCUCCUUACAAUUUUCGGCACAGCAGCUUCCAGCUCCUCAAUGCUGACUGAGAGAGAACACGGCAGAGAAAAUAAACGCAUCACUAGUUCAGAUUCUUCACAAGCAAAUACUAGCAUGUUUUACCAGAUAACUCUUGCCCUUUAGCUAACAGUGCCCCUAGUAACGACAAUCAGAUACGAGCCUUCGGUAGAGCACUAAGUCUAGAAACAGCUGGAGAAGCACUGGAUUUCUUACAAGAGACAAUGUAUGUAUAUGUAUGUAUUUGUGUAUCCUUUCACACAGCGUGACAGUGACAAGGAUGAAACAGCACCAGGAUAAUCACACACACACAUAUAUAUAGGCGGGCCGCAGUAUGUUGGCUGAGAAUUUGGCACAUUGCAAGUUUACUCCCUUAACUUGGCAUGAUAUUUCAUCUAGCUCCCUUAACUCCAAAGUGUGCAUCAACUCCAACUCCAUGUACGGUCUCAAGGUAAACAAUCUAGGCCACAACAAGCUUACAUGAACCAUCCCACUGGAGAUCGGCAACCUUGUGAGUCUUCAACAGCCUGCACACUGGAAACAAUACAGGGGGAAGAAAUACCACCUCGCAUAAAGAUUUCCUAGUGAACAACUAGUCAGUUAAGUCGAGCCAUCGAGAACCUGCUUAGUUUGUUGUUUGAGAUAAACCUGAACAUGCCUUUCAGUUUUUUCUCUUACGGCUUUGCCCGCUUUUCCCACUCUAUGUGCCCUUGUAUGCAUAGUUCUAUUUCUUCUUAGUCUGCAAACAGAAACGGUAAUGCAUCUUUUUCCUUUGCAUAAGAGUGACAGAGGGGGAAAAUAGCACAACAAAAAUAGUCAGAUGUUGAUGACAUGCAAGUCACAAUGCAUUGACAAGAGAAUUGACCAGUGAAAGCUACUUUCUUGAUUAGCUUAUGUAUCCUCAGUUUGACAGUACACUUGGAAACGGGGACAAGUAGCGUUCACAAAAGAAAAGACACAAGAGACAACCGAUACUAAUUAAGUUCAAGAACUGAAGAAGACCUCUUUGACGAGACAAUGCAAAUCAGUUUCCAAGAAACUUCCUGCAUGAAUUAUUGAGCAACUUGCCUUGCACCCAUCAAUCUAUAUAACAUAGAGAAGAACAGUACACUUGUCUACUGGAAUCAGAAAGAAGGGAGCAAAAACAGCCUUGGUAAAAAUAUGGUAGCUGCAGGUUUCCCCAUGCUUGUUCUUCU